UUUUAUCCUUGUAUGAAAUAAAAAUCUAAAUGAUUGGACAUCUGAAAGUGAGAAGAGUAAGAUUAAAUAACACAAUUUCAUUCGUCACAUUUUUAUCAAAUAAAAACUGCCCAGCCCAAUGUAGUAAGACGAUACUACAUCCACUUUAUAAAGCUGUGUCAUGGCAAGGAACCUAAAGAGUAUUCCCAGGAUUAAAGCAACAUUGGAUUGGUUUCAGGUUACAUACCAGCUUUGUCAAAACACUCUCUAUAAAGCAAUUUGGCUUCCUUUCACUUUAAUGGUUUCAUUGGGGGAUUCAAGUCUCCUUUUGGCUUCGCAUGAACAAGAUAUUUUUUUCUAAGACUAAACGCACAGCUCAAUCCAACCAAAACGUACUCUCUCUCUGUUUGUUCAGUGACUCAUUCCAAACAGGCAGCUUUAGACUGGACUGCCAGAUGGGCAGGGUUCACACUUCUGUGACUUUUCUAUUUGCUCCAUUGCACAAUACACGCUCAAUCAAGCCCAGAUCUUGAUGUGAUGCUGAUGAACAUUAGGUCACAUGUUAAGAGAUUUGCCUAGCUUACUUCACUGUCUGAAGAGCUGCUGUCAGAGGAGGAGGAGGAUGAACUGGAAUCCUGUGUACAAGAGAAACAAAGAAGCUUUUUCUUUUCCUUCAUGGCUUUGUCCUCAUCCUCGCUGUCCGAGAGCUGUCAAAUGAGUACAGGGCAACCUGAAGGAGAGAGAGAGAGACUGUAAUUGUUACAACUGACAGAUGGAUAUGACAGGCCCUCCCACUGAACCUGACCCUCUCCGGCAUACCUUUCCAGGUCCUCCUGGAGGGUCUUUGGGCUCUGUCUUGGCUGCGUUAGUAGUGUCUGUUGCAGACAGCCCUCCUAACCCCCCAUGCUCUGCAAGCACUCAUUCACUCCUCCCAGGCUGGAUCUGAUCCAGUGGGCUCAGGUCCACUCGUCCUCCCUCUCCCCCCGCUCCAUUUUCAGGCCCUGGAACUACACAAGCCAGCACAGAUGAAUACGCAAUUAUAUUUCCCAUUCAACAAAUCAAUGUUUAUUGUAUUGCAUGGGUUACAAUAUUUUGUCAGUUGUCUUAGACUUGUAUCCCAUUGUACCAAUCACCUACAGACUGAGGCUUUUGCAGUGCAAACAAUAUUAAAUACAAUACAAAAAACGAGAACCAGAGUGUCAAAUGCAUAGGCCUACUGUUCACGUGUGAAUGGCGUAGAAGUCUAUUAAUAUUAUGGAUAAAACAUUAUCUAAUGCACUUCCUUAUUUCUCACACUGUACUCCAUCCCAUGUAAUGAUGCAUUCACCUCAGAGUACAUUUGUAGCCAUAACGCACAAAACAAAUUGACUAUCUAUAUAUUGUAUGUUUAUAAGUAGAAUAACUGACAGAUAACGGAAUUAUGCCUGUUGAGUGACAACAACAGCACAGAAUUGCAUGACUUUUACUUCAGGUUUAUUUUGACCACGCCCCUG
Molecule: long non-coding RNA, 1472 nt
Organism: Oncorhynchus keta (chum salmon)
Lineage: Eukaryota; Metazoa; Chordata; Actinopteri; Salmoniformes; Salmonidae
Exons: 3
Source: RefSeq, a predicted model, not a curated record